CGCCUUCGCCCGGUAAAGGUGCGCCCCGCGCGGAGCCCCGGGACGCGCUGCAGCGGCGUUAGCGAAAGCAUCUGCUCGGCCCGGCCCCCGCCCCCCGCCGUUCCCGGCCGCUUUCCGCCGCGGCUCCGCUCUCCGCCCCCGGAGCCGCGGGUGCCCGGGGCGCGUCUCGCACCCCCGGAGCGGUGCCCCCGUCGGGAUGCGGGGCUGAUUGCCGCCCCACUGUCCGCCCGGCACCGCGCGGCGCCGCUCCUCCGUUUGGUUCGGUUCGUUUCGUUUUCCC
RNAcentral lists this long non-coding RNA (280 nucleotides) under Gallus gallus (chicken). The record is from RNAcentral. Lineage: Eukaryota; Metazoa; Chordata; Aves; Galliformes; Phasianidae.